CAGGGAGACAACAAAAUGUUUAAUAUUAUUAUUUUGUCACCUUAGGUCGAUCGGUAUCUCACGUUCUUAAUUUGUUAAGAAUUUCAUUUCCUAAGUUUUUCUAGGUCACACCCAUUAUUUUCCUGGGCCAUUAGCUCAGGUGGUUAGAGCGCACCCCUGAUAAGGGUGAGGUCCCUGGUUCAAGUCCAGGAUGGCCCAUAUCUCUAUGUUGGGGGUAUAGCUCAGUUGGUAGAGCGCCUGCUUUGCAAGCAGGAUGUCAGCGGUUCGAGUCCGCUUACCUCCACUGAUUGCCACCUCUUCCAUAACCGGUAGAAAGGAAAUGUUUUGAGUCGUGAUCAUUAUUCUGAACGAAUCUAGCUUCCUAAUGAAAUCAUUAAGAUGCUGGACUCAUUGAAUUAAUUUCAUUGUUUUCAGAGAACCUUGACAACUGCAUAGAUUAUUUUUAAAGACAAUAAGCAUCUUUAAUGAUGCAGAUUUAUUAUUCGUGCGAAUGCAUUAAUAACAAUUCUAUUAAGCUGAUGCUUCAAUUUUUGAAGUUAUU
This 541-nucleotide transfer RNA is filed under the name uncultured cyanobacterium. RNAcentral's name for it is "partial miscellaneous RNA". The stretch from base 211 to 283 matches the Rfam family "tRNA". The record is from RNAcentral. Lineage: Bacteria; Bacillati; Cyanobacteriota.